Molecule: non-coding RNA, 146 nt
Organism: Gossypium arboreum
Lineage: Eukaryota; Viridiplantae; Streptophyta; Magnoliopsida; Malvales; Malvaceae
Source: Rfam
UUUUAAAAAAAUUCAUCUAUUUGUAUCAUUAAAAACUAAUAUGGUUGAUAAAAUAACCAGAUAGUGACAUGUGACGUGUCAUGUGUAUCUUAUGCUAACGUAUAUGGAUCAAUUUUUAACAGUAAAAAAGGAUAAAACUUUUAAUA